Molecule: long non-coding RNA, 1198 nt
Organism: Mugil cephalus (flathead mullet)
Lineage: Eukaryota; Metazoa; Chordata; Actinopteri; Mugiliformes; Mugilidae
Exons: 4
Source: RefSeq, a predicted model, not a curated record
UCAGUGAACGUUGCCACCAUGUAGCUUCUCUCAGUUUCUGAUCAUUCAACAUAAAACUUUUAAUCUUAAAUGUUGUUGUCUCUCUGCUCCUCCACUGGCCACAGUAGCAGACUAAGUGAGUCUGGCUGGUGUUUAAUGAGCUGAACCAGUCACAGCUGAGUAGAAGUGAAUACAGGGACGUGUUGAAGACGAACACAUCUCAGCUGCUCAGAUGAGUUUAUGCAACUUUUACAACAGCCCCUUGUACAUAAUCUAUAAAUCAGUCAAUCAGUCUGUUGGAGUCACUUCCUGGUUGUGUUGAGUUGUGACUCGUUGCUGUGUUUUUACUUUCACUUUCAUCGUGGAUCGAGUCUCACAAACAGUUGAACUUAAUACUGUAUAAAUGAUGGAUUGAACUCAUUUAAAACUCAUUUAAAACCAGGAUAGUCGAAGCUUCCACGUGAACCGUUUGUUCCUGUCGCGUGGAUCGAUCGAUCAAUCAGCUGAUUGGAGGAUUCGGACCUUUAAUUUAAUCUGAGGCUUCACACACGGAUCGAUGCAGGUCGAUCAAGCUGAAUGCAGGGACACUGAUCUCAGUGAGACGUUCCAGGACUCAGACCAGAGGACACAGAGCAGAAAGUUUUUUUUCGUUGAGAGAAGAGUCGUUGGUUUCCAGCAGAGUGACAUCAUGGCUGCAGCAUCUGAGUGAACAAGCAGCUAUGAAAUGCUUCCCCCCACCAUGUCUGAGCUGAGGGUUGUUCUGUUGGGGAACACCUGGACUGAGAGGAGUUCAGCUGGAAACUUCAUCCUGGGAGAGACUGUGUUCAACACUGAGAAAGAACCAGACUGCUGUGUGAGAGUCAGUGGACGAUGCAUGUAUAGACGGAUUGUUCUCAUCAACCCUCCAGAUCUGCUGCAUCUGAACGUCUCUGAAGACAAACUGACAGAGUCCAUAGAAGAAUGUGUGAGACUCUCUGAUCCUGGACCUCAUGUGUUCCUGCUGGUUCUACAGCCUGAAGACUUCACCGAGCAACACAGACAGAGGCUUCAAACCAUCCUUGAAAACUUUGGUGAUCAAUCAUUUGAACAUUCCCUCAUAUUGAUAUCAAAACCUGCCAAGAUCAAAUCAGGUUCAAUGGAGAACUACAUGGAACAACCAGCUUUAAAACACAUGUACAGAAUGUGCAGGUACAGAUAUGUGAAGCAGAGUGAAGUUGAA